RNAcentral lists this ribosomal RNA (610 nucleotides) under Aliidiomarina minuta. Its description in RNAcentral is "bacterial SSU rRNA". It matches the Rfam family "Bacterial small subunit ribosomal RNA", at positions 63 to 662 of the family's 1533-position model. The record is from RNAcentral. Lineage: Bacteria; Pseudomonadati; Pseudomonadota; Gammaproteobacteria; Alteromonadales; Idiomarinaceae.
CGAGCGGUAACAGAAAGAAGCUUGCUUCUUUGCUGACGAGCGGCGGACGGGUGAGUAAUACUUGGGAAUCUGCCUUGUGGAGGGGGACAACCACUGGAAACGGUGGCUAAUACCGCAUAAUGCCUUCGGGCCAAAGUAUGGGACCUUCGGGCCAUACACCACAAGAUGAGCCCAAGCGAGAUUAGGUAGUUGGUGGGGUAAAGGCCUACCAAGCCUGCGAUCUCUAGCUGGUCUGAGAGGAUGAUCAGCCACACUGGGACUGAGACACGGCCCAGACUCCUACGGGAGGCAGCAGUGGGGAAUAUUGGACAAUGGGGGCAACCCUGAUCCAGCCAUGCCGCGUGUGUGAAGAAGGCCUUCGGGUUGUAAAGCACUUUCAGUGGUGAGGAAGGCGUUGUAGUUAAUAGCUGCAACGAUUGACGUUAGCCACAGAAGAAGCACCGGCUAACUCCGUGCCAGCAGCCGCGGUAAUACGGAGGGUGCGAGCGUUAAUCGGAAUUACUGGGCGUAAAGCGCACGUAGGCGGUUUGUUAAGCUAGAUGUGAAAGCCCCGGGCUCAACCUGGGAAUAGCAUUUAGAACUGGCAGGCUAGAGUUUUGAAGAGGGUGGU